CCUACGGGUCGCACCAGUGGGGAAUAUUGCACAAUGGGCGCAAGCCUGAUGCAGCCAUGCCGCGUGUAUGAAGAAGGCCUUCGGGUUGUAAAGUACUUUCAGCGGGGAGGAAGGUGUUGUGGUUAAUAACCACAGCAAUUGACGUUACACGCAGAAGAAGCACCGGCUAACUCCGUGCCAGCAGCCGCGGUAAUACGGAGGGUGCAAGCGUUAAUCGGAAUUACUGGGCGUAAAGCGCACGCAGGCGGUCUGUCAAGUCGGAUGUGAAAUCCCCGGGCUCAACCUGGGAACUGCAUCUGAUACUGGCAAGCUUGAGUCUCGUAGAGGGGGGUAGAAUUCCAGGUGUAGCGGUGAAAUGCGUAGAGAUCUGGAGGAAUACCGGUGGCGAAGGCGGCCCCCUGGACGAAGACUGACGCUCAGGUGCGAAAGCGUGGGGAGCAAACAGGAUUAGAUACCCGGGUAGUC
Molecule: ribosomal RNA, 465 nt
Filed under: uncultured bacterium
Lineage: Bacteria
Description: bacterial SSU rRNA
Rfam family: Bacterial small subunit ribosomal RNA
Source: RNAcentral